This 253-nucleotide ribosomal RNA is filed under the name uncultured bacterium. Its description in RNAcentral is "partial 16S ribosomal RNA". It matches the Rfam family "Bacterial small subunit ribosomal RNA", at positions 524 to 776 of the family's 1533-position model. The record is from RNAcentral.
GACGGAGGGGGCAAGCGUUGUCCGGAAUCACUGGGCGUAAAGCGCACGUAGGCGGGACGGUGCGUCGGUGCUGAAAGCGCCAGGCUUAACCUGGCGAGGCGUGCCGAUACGACCGACCUCGAGGCAGACAGAGGGUGGCGGAAUUCCGGGUGUAGUGGUGAAAUGCGUAGAGAUCAGGAAGAACACCAGUGGCGAAGGCGCUCUGCUAGGCCGUAACUGACACUGAGGGACGAAAGCUAGGGGAGCGAAUGGG